UAAAAAUUUUUGUAGUUUAUUUAAUUUAUUUAAAGUUUAUUUUACAUAUAAAUUUUAGUGUUAAUAUUAAUUUAUUUUAAUAAUAAAUUUUUAUUUUAUUUUAGUAAUUAAUAUUAAAUUAUUUAAGAAAUUAAUAUUUAGUAAUAUUUAAAUUAAUAACUAAUUUUGUGCCAGCAGUUGCGGUUAAACAAAGAUUAAAUUAAAUUUUAUUAGUUAAAUUAAUUAAUAUAUAUAUAUAUAUAUAAUGAAAAUUUUAAAUUAUUAGGUGAAAUUUUAAUUUAAUAAAAUAUUAUUUUAUUUUUAUGAUUUAAUAAAUUUUUAUGAGAAACUAGGAUUAGAUACCCUAUUAUUAAAAUUUUAAAAAUUAAAUACUAAAAUAGUAAUUAAUUAUUUAUUGAAACUUAAACAAUUUGGCGGUAUUUUAGUUCAUUUAGAGGAAUCUGUUUAAUAAUUGAUAAUCCACGAAUAAAUUUACUUAAUUUUGUAAUUUUGUAUAUCGUUGUUAAAAAAAUAUUUUUUAAUGAGAGUAAUAUUUUAAAAUUAUUAAUAAAAUUAAAUCAGAUCAAGAUGCAGAUUAUAAUUAAGAAUAUAAUGGAUUACAAUAAAUUUAUUUAAAUGAAUAUUAUUUUGAAAAAAUUAAUUGAAAUUGGAUUUAAAUGUAAUUUUAUUUAGUUUAAUAAAAUGAUUAAAAAUUGAAAUAUGUACAUAUUGCCCGUCGCUUUCAUAUAUUAAAAAGUUGAAAUAAGUCGUAACAAAGUAGAGGUACUGGAAAGUGUUUCUAGAAAGAA
Molecule: non-coding RNA, 788 nt
Filed under: Dysgonia illibata
Lineage: Eukaryota; Metazoa; Arthropoda; Insecta; Lepidoptera; Erebidae
Source: RNAcentral